AGUUUGAUCAUGGCUCAGAACGAACGCUGGCGGCAUGCCUAACACAUGCAAGUCGAACGAACCCUUCGGGGUUAGUGGCGCACGGGUGCGUAACGCGUGGGGAUCUGCCCAAAGGUUCGGAAUAACUCAGAGAAAUUUGAGCUAAUACCGGAUAAUGUCUUCGGACCAAAGAUUUAUUGCCUUUGGAUGAACCCGCGUAGGAUUAGCUUGUUGGUGGGGUAAAGGCCUACCAAGGCGACGAUCCUUAGCUGGUCUGAGAGGAUGAUCAGCCACACUGGGACUGAGACACGGCCCAGACUCCUACGGGAGGCAGCAGUGGGGAAUAUUGGACAAUGGGCGAAAGCCUGAUCCAGCAAUGCCGCGUGAGUGAUGAAGGCCUUAGGGUUGUAAAGCUCUUUUACCAGGGAUGAUAAUGACAGUACCUGGAGAAUAAGCUCCGGCUAACUCCGUG
Molecule: ribosomal RNA, 451 nt
Filed under: uncultured bacterium
Lineage: Bacteria
Description: bacterial SSU rRNA
Rfam family: Bacterial small subunit ribosomal RNA
Source: RNAcentral